CACAGGGAGUGCAAACGUUAUUCAUCAUUAUUGGGUGUAAAGGAUAUGUAGGUGGUACUUUCGAACAUUUGUGAAAGACUCUGGUAGAACGCGGAGGAAGACAAGUGAUAGACCGAAGUUCUAGAGUUUAAAAUGGGUUAAGAGAAUUCUGUGUGUAGGGGUAGAAUCCAUACAUAUAUGGAAGACGAUCGAGUAGGUGGCUAAUGCGCUUUUCCGGUUUAAACUGACGCUGAGAUAUGAAGGGGUAGGGAGCAAACAGG
RNAcentral lists this ribosomal RNA (260 nucleotides) under uncultured bacterium. Its description in RNAcentral is "partial 16S ribosomal RNA". It matches the Rfam family "Bacterial small subunit ribosomal RNA", at positions 524 to 776 of the family's 1533-position model. The record is from RNAcentral.